RNAcentral lists this unclassified non-coding RNA (391 nucleotides) under soil metagenome. RNAcentral's name for it is "partial contains 5.8S ribosomal RNA, internal transcribed spacer 2, and large subunit ribosomal RNA". The stretch from base 1 to 122 matches the Rfam family "5.8S ribosomal RNA", at positions 35 to 154 of the family's 154-position model. The record is from RNAcentral.
GAUGAAGAACGUAGCGAAAUGCGAUACUUGGUGUGAAUUGCAGAAUCCCGUGAACCAUCGAGUCUUUGAACGCAAGUUGCGCCCGAAGCCACUAGGCCGAGGGCACGCCUGCCUGGGCGUCACACGCCGUUGCCCCCCCAUCUACUCCUUCGGGAUUGCGGGGGGGCGGGUGAUGGCCUCCUGUGCGCCUAGCCGCGCGGUUGGCAUAAAUACCAAGUCCUCGGCGACGCACGCCACGACAAUCGGUGGUUGCGAAACCUCGGUUGCCCGUCGUGUGCGUUCGUCGCGCAUCGAGGGCUCGAAAAAAUGCUCGGCUCCGGCUGGGCUUUCAACGCGACCCCAGGUCAGGCGGGGUUACCCGCUGAAUUUAAGCAUAUCAAUAAGCGGAGGA